GUUUUCUUCAGGUUUUUAUUUUUAUCAUUUUGGUAACACCCACGAGCAAUACAACCUUGCAGAAAUCUUUUGAAAUUUCUAAGAAUUGUUGCUCCAAACUUCCUUUCAUCGUGACAUAUAUACUUAUGAUAGAUUAAUUCAGAAUACGAUGGUAGAGUUGUGUUCAACAAAAAUGGCGGUCUCAGUUUGCUUUUACUCGGUUGCUUCGCUUGGCUGCGAAAAGAAAAGGGCCCCUCCCAUUGGAUGGUGAAAACCCGGUUUUUAGCGGCAUUUCGUGUUGGCAAGAACAUUAUUGAGGUCCCUUUGUCUUACCAUAGACAGUGGAGACCAUAUUACCCAACUAUGUUUUAUUUUACUAUAAUGGAAACACACAUUUUGUUAGGGUCCAGAAAUAUGGCAACCGCUAUUUUUUUGCUGAUGGUCUGAAAGAGUUUAGGAGAACCUACAACAUUAAGGAUGGUGUCAUUAUCCGGCUUUUUGCUCCUGACAAAAAUACAUCUUUCGAGCUUGAUGUCAUGGGACCUAUCCAUGGGCAAUCAACGAGAAGGUCAGUGGUUACAACCAGAAGGCACGUCUUUACAACUGAUGUCACACAAGACAUGGUGCAACACAACUUGCCUUUGGUUCUUCCACCAGUUGCUUCAAAUUUUUUGUUUAGCUAAAAAAAAAAAAAUUCUAUCCACCGUGGUUAUGGUAGACGUAACCAAUGGCAGAUCACCAUUCAUGAUGGUCUGCCAUCCCUUGCGAAACCAUGGUUUCAGCACCUGUCUAAAAAUAACUUAAUGCCUGGAAAUGAAGUUGUCUUCUUCUUCAAGUUUGACGAACAUGCGUGGGAAGCGCUAUUUAGGAAAAAAGUCAUAUGGGAUGACACCCUUUCUAGUUGAAGACCAUCCCACAGACAACUAUAUUUUUUUGGGUUUUGGUUUGAUUUAUAUUUUGCUUAGUUUUGUUAGUCAAAUACCUUAGGGUAUGAAACAAUUUCUUUCCCUUUACGUUGAA
Long non-coding RNA from Glycine soja, 999 nucleotides. RefSeq lists it as uncharacterized. The record is from RefSeq and is a predicted model, not a curated record. Lineage: Eukaryota; Viridiplantae; Streptophyta; Magnoliopsida; Fabales; Fabaceae. The transcript is spliced from 6 exons.